GGCUCAGGACGAACGCUGGCCGCGUGCCUAACACAUGCAAGUCGAGCGAGAAAGCCCGCAAGGGUGAGUAAAGCGGCGCACGGGUGCGUAACACGUGGGUAAUCUUCCUUGGAGCCCGGAAUAACUCCCCGAAAGGGGUGCUAAUGCCGGAUGAGACCACGGGAUCUCCGGAUCCUGAGGGAAAAGGCGGCCUCUGUACACAAGCUGUCACUCCAAGAUGAGCCCGCGGCCCAUCAGCUAGUUGGCGGGGUAAUGGCCCACCAAGGCUACGACGGGUAGCUGGUCUGAGAGGACGAUCAGCCACACUGGAACUGAGACACGGUCCAGACUCCUACGGGAGGCAGCAGUGGGGAAUCUUGCGCAAUGGGCGAAAGCCUGACGCAGCAACGCCGCGUGUGUGAUGAAGGUCUUCGGAUCGUAAAGCACUGUCGGGAGGGACGAAUAAGGCGGCGGCUAAUAUCCGCAGCCGAUGACGGUACCUCCAAAGGAAGCACCGGCUAACUCUGUGCCAGCAGCCGCGGUAAUACAGAGGGUGCAAGCGUUGUUCGGAAUUAUUGGGCGUAAAGCGCGUGUAGGCGGCCUUGCAAGUUGGGUGUGAAAGCCCUCGGCUUAACCGAGGAAGUGCGCCCAAAACUACAGGGCUUGAGUACCGGAGAGGGUGGCGGAAUUCCCGGUGUAGAGGUGAAAUUCGUAGAUAUCGGGAGGAACACCAGUGGCGAAGGCGGCCACCUGGACGGAUACUGACGCUGAGACGCGAAAGCGUGGGUAGCAAACAGGAUUAGAUACCCUGGUAGUCCACGCUGUAAACGAUGAGCGCUAGGUGUUGUGGGUGUUGACCCCUGCAGUGCCGCAGCUAACGCAUUAAGCGCUCCGCCUGGGAAGUACGGCCGCCAGGCUAAAACUCAAAG
Molecule: ribosomal RNA, 908 nt
Filed under: uncultured bacterium
Lineage: Bacteria
Description: bacterial SSU rRNA
Rfam family: Bacterial small subunit ribosomal RNA
Source: RNAcentral